Molecule: ribosomal RNA, 478 nt
Filed under: uncultured bacterium
Lineage: Bacteria
Description: partial 16S ribosomal RNA
Rfam family: Bacterial small subunit ribosomal RNA
Source: RNAcentral
GACGAACGCUGGCGGCGUGCUUAACACAUGCAAGUCGAACGGUAAGGCCCUUCGGGGUACACGAGUGGCGAACGGGUGAGUAACACGUGGGUGAUCUGCCCUGCACUUCGGGAUAAGCCUGGGAAACUGGGUCUAAUACCGGACAGGACCACUGCCUGCAUGGGUGGUGGUGGAAAGCUUUUGCGGUGUGGGAUGGGCCCGCGGCCUAUCAGCUUGUUGGUGGGGUGAUGGCCUACCAAGGCGACGACGGGUAGCCGGCCUGAGAGGGUGACCGGCCACACUGGGACUGAGAUACGGCCCAGACUCCUACGGGAGGCAGCAGUGGGGAAUAUUGCACAAUGGGCGCAAGCCUGAUGCAGCGACGCCGCGUGAGGGAUGACGGCCUUCGGGUUGUAAACCUCUUUCAGCACCGACGAAGCGUAAGUGACGGUAGGUGCAGAAGAAGGACCGGCCAACUACGUGCCAGCAGCCGCGGUAA